UUCUCGAGCAGGAAAGCACGUAAUACGACAAUGUUUUAAUUUUAUUGAGUGAUAUAAGAGUGUAUUUAAGAUUUCUCUCUUUAAGAUUAUUGUCUUUGACAAUUUGACAAGAAUUCUUGUGAUUGUCUUUUUACUUAUCCUUCAAUUUUUUUAGAAUAAACCUGUAUAGGGGAAUUCGAAUACAAAGAAAGACUAAGUACAUGAAUUUUACUUAUUAAGGUCAUACAAUUAAUCAUAUUCCGAACCACUAAAACACCAAGAAAUACUACAAUACUUUUUUCCAAUAACAAUACUCUUUCAUUAAUUGAUAACAACAGUGUGUAACCUUGCACUCUCAAAAGACUGCUCAAAAUACAUAAUUUCCAUCCAAUACCAAAAUUAAUAGACUUCACUUUAACCAGUCUGAAUUCACAUAAUUUUUGUAAUCACCAACUUCCUUUGUCGAAAUACAUACAGCUCUCAAUAAACAAUAAUCAUAAUCUUUCAAUAACUUGUCAUAUAAUUCAAUCACUUAGUGCUCUAAUUACAUAAUCAAUAAUUCAUAAAUCAAUCUUUGAUUUAUUCCACAGACUCACUUUUCAGUAUUCAAAAAUUAUCCAUUAUUCCUCAACAACAAAAAAAAUUAAAGAGACAAAGAGGUAGUACCAAGCUUAACCCUGGCUCAUGACUAUC
Molecule: long non-coding RNA, 672 nt
Filed under: Physcomitrium patens
Lineage: Eukaryota; Viridiplantae; Streptophyta; Bryopsida; Funariales; Funariaceae
Description: long non-coding RNA (PPAT_LNC008442)
Source: RNAcentral